This is a regulatory RNA element of Trichinella zimbabwensis, 114 nucleotides long. It matches the Rfam family "Potassium channel RNA editing signal". Rfam says of the family: This family represents a group of sequences related to the human potassium channel Kv1.1 hairpin element which directs the efficient modification of an adenosine to inosine by an adenosine deaminase acting on RNA (ADAR). The ADAR modification causes an isoleucine/valine recoding event which lies in the ion-conducting pore of the potassium channel. Lineage: Eukaryota; Metazoa; Nematoda; Enoplea; Trichinellida; Trichinellidae. The record is from Rfam.
GUUGGAUACGGCGAUUUGGUCCCAGUUGCGCCAGCAGGAAAAUUUGUUGGUUCUUUGUGCGCAAUUGUUGGUGUUCUUGUACUUGCCUUACCGGUGCCGGUGAUUGUCGCCAAU